RNAcentral lists this ribosomal RNA (530 nucleotides) under uncultured bacterium. Its description in RNAcentral is "bacterial SSU rRNA". It matches the Rfam family "Bacterial small subunit ribosomal RNA", at positions 539 to 1069 of the family's 1533-position model. The record is from RNAcentral.
CGUUGUCCGGAUUAUUGGGCGUAAAGCGCGCGCAGGCGGAUUGGUCAGUCUGUCUUAAAAGUUCGGGGCUUAACCCCGUGAUGGGAUGGAAACUGCCAAUCUAGAGUAUCGGAGAGGAAAGUGGAAUUCCUAGUGUAGCGGUGAAAUGCGUAGAUAUUAGGAAGAACACCAGUGGCGAAGGCGACUUUCUGGACGAAAACUGACGCUGAGGCGCGAAAGCCAGGGGAGCGAACGGGAUUAGAUACCCCGGUAGUCCUGGCCGUAAACGAUGGGUACUAGGUGUAGGAGGUAUCGACCCCUUCUGUGCCGGAGUUAACGCAAUAAGUACCCCGCCUGGGGAGUACGACCGCAAGGUUGAAACUCAAAGGAAUUGACGGGGGCCCGCACAAGCGGUGGAGUAUGUGGUUUAAUUCGAAGCAACGCGAAGAACCUUACCAGGUCUUGACAUCCCUCUGACCGCUCUAGAGAUAGAGCUUUCCUUCGGGACAGAGGUGACAGGUGGUGCAUGGUUGUCGUCAGCUCGUGUCGUG